Long non-coding RNA from Saccostrea echinata, 529 nucleotides. RefSeq lists it as uncharacterized. NCBI's taxonomy places the organism in Eukaryota, Metazoa, Mollusca, Bivalvia, Ostreida, Ostreidae. The transcript is spliced from 3 exons. The record is from RefSeq and is a predicted model, not a curated record.
CCUUACCGUCAUUGAGAACCAUUCAUAUCCGGGAUUUGUUUCCCAAAGAGAACUGGGUUUGUUCUAAUUAAGGUGAAUUUUUCAGACAUGCAUCUUGGGUCAGUGCCGGUUAUAAUCCUUUCUUUAAUUAUGCUUGACUUUACAACACAAGCUAAUUAUAUACGAACAUCUGUUUGUGAAGAAGAAAAACAAACUGCAGUUAAAGAAGCAGAAGUGAAGUGCGAAGCAGAGAAACAGGCACUGAAGGAUGACGUAACCAGAAUGGCGGCUAACAAGCAGAGGAUACUUGCACGCCAACUAGCAGAUUGUCUUCAACUAGAUUCCUCCAGUUGUUCUACCGAAUCGAACUGUUUUUGGGACUCGAUUGUCAACACUUGCAUUCCAAGAGAAUUAGCUUUGUAAAGAGUCCACAAGAUACCCGAUCCGUAGCUUGGCUGGAAAUUUGGAAUGCUUUCAGUGUUUAAAAAAAAAAAUGUACAUGGAUUUUAAAAUGUUCUAUACAAUAAAUCAGUAGUUUUUCGUGCGACUA